UUAAAUUGAAGAGUUUGAUCAUGGCUCAGAUUGAACGCUGGCGGCAGGCCUAACACAUGCAAGUCGAACGGUAGCACAGAGGAGCUUGCUCCUUGG
RNAcentral lists this ribosomal RNA (96 nucleotides) under Escherichia coli. Its description in RNAcentral is "partial 16S ribosomal RNA". It matches the Rfam family "Bacterial small subunit ribosomal RNA", at positions 1 to 90 of the family's 1533-position model. The record is from RNAcentral. Lineage: Bacteria; Pseudomonadati; Pseudomonadota; Gammaproteobacteria; Enterobacterales; Enterobacteriaceae.